This is a long non-coding RNA of Cebus imitator (Panamanian white-faced capuchin), 148 nucleotides long. RefSeq lists it as uncharacterized. The record is from RefSeq and is a predicted model, not a curated record. The transcript is spliced from 3 exons. NCBI's taxonomy places the organism in Eukaryota, Metazoa, Chordata, Mammalia, Primates, Cebidae.
CUACAAAGAGAAUAAAAGACCUAGGAAUACAAUUCACAAGGGAUGUGAAGGACCUCUUCAAGGAGAACUACAAACCACUGCUCAAGGAAAUAAGAGAGGAUACAAACAGAUAAAAAAAAAUCCAUGCUUAUGGUUAGGAAGAAUCAAU